UUACGGCCAGUGAAGCCCCCCUGUGCUCUUUUCCUCGUGGGGGCCCAGUGUGCAAUGGCUGCAAAGAGCAGCCUCCUUGGCAGUGUGUGUAGCUCGUUGCCUGCACGGCUGGCCCUAAGGGACCUGGAGACAGCC
This is a small nucleolar RNA of Bison bison bison, 135 nucleotides long. Its record names the gene SNORA70. It matches the Rfam family "Small nucleolar RNA SNORA70". From Rfam's summary of the family: snoRNA U70 seems to be exclusive to mammals and is a member of the H/ACA class of snoRNA which contain H (ANANNA) and ACA box motifs. The record is from Ensembl. Lineage: Eukaryota; Metazoa; Chordata; Mammalia; Artiodactyla; Bovidae.